AACUUUUGGCAACGGAUCUCUUGGCUCUCGCAUCGAUGAAGAACGCAGCGAAAUGCGAUCAGUAAUGUGAAUUGCAGAAUUCAGUGAAUCGUCGAAUCUUUGAACGCACCUUGCGCCCGUUGGCCAUUCCGAGGGGCAUGCCUGUUUGAGUAUCAUGAACACCUCAACUCUCAUGGCUUGCCAUGAUGAGCUUGGACUAUGGGGGUUUUGUUGGCCUCUGGGGUCAGCUCCUCUUAAAUGAAUCAGCUUGCUAGUGUGUGGCGGCAUUGUGGGUGUGAUAACUAUCUACGCUCAUGGUUGUUUGCCAGGUAACCUUCAGCAGUGGAGGUUCGCUGGGGCUUAUAAAUCUCUCUCCUCAGCAUGAGACAGCAUUUUGAACGUUCGAUCUCAGAUCAGGUAGGACUACCCGCUGAACUUAAGCAUAUCAAUAAGCGGAGGCU
RNAcentral lists this unclassified non-coding RNA (440 nucleotides) under uncultured Thelephoraceae. RNAcentral's name for it is "sequence contains ITS2". The stretch from base 1 to 155 matches the Rfam family "5.8S ribosomal RNA". The record is from RNAcentral. Lineage: Eukaryota; Fungi; Basidiomycota; Agaricomycetes; Thelephorales; Thelephoraceae.